AUAUCAAUAAGCGGAGGAAAAGAAACCAACAGGGAUUGCCCUAGUAACGGCGAGUGAAGCGGCAACAGCUCAAAUUUGAAAUCUGGCUCUUUCAGAGUCCGAGUUGUAAUUUGCAGAGGGCGCUUUGGCUUUGGCAGCGGUCCAAGUUCCUUGGAACAGGACGUCACAGAGGGUGAGAAUCCCGUACGUGGUCGCUAGCUAUUGCCGUGUAAAGCCCCUUCGACGAGUCGAGUUGUUUGGGAAUGCAGCUCUAAAUGGGAGGUAAAUUUCUUCUAAAGCUAAAUAUUGGCCAGAGACCGAUAGCGCACAAGUAGAGUGAUCGAAAGAUGAAAAGCACUUUGGAAAGAGAGUCAAACAGCACGUGAAAUUGUUGAAAGGGAAGCGCUUGCAGCCAGACUUGCUUGCAGUUGCUCAUCCGGGCUUUUGCCCGGUGCACUCUUCUGCAGGCAGGCCAGCAUCAGUUUGGGCGGUGGGAUAAAGGUCUCUGUCACGUACCUUCCUUCGGGUUGGCCUUAUAGGGGAGACGCCAUACCACCAGCCUGGACUGAGGUCCGCGCAUCUGCUAGGAUGCUGGCGUAAUGGCUGUAAGCGGC
Molecule: ribosomal RNA, 593 nt
Filed under: Curvularia spicifera
Lineage: Eukaryota; Fungi; Ascomycota; Dothideomycetes; Pleosporales; Pleosporaceae
Description: eukaryotic LSU rRNA
Rfam family: Eukaryotic large subunit ribosomal RNA
Source: RNAcentral